This 588-nucleotide ribosomal RNA is filed under the name uncultured bacterium. Its description in RNAcentral is "bacterial SSU rRNA". It matches the Rfam family "Bacterial small subunit ribosomal RNA", at positions 915 to 1507 of the family's 1533-position model. The record is from RNAcentral.
GGGGACCCGCACAAGCGGUGGAUGAUGUGGUUUAAUUCGAUGCAACGCGAAAAACCUUACCCACCUUUGACAUGGCAGGAAGUUUCCAGAGAUGGAUUCGUGCCCGAAAGGGAACCUGCACACAGGUGCUGCAUGGCUGUCGUCAGCUCGUGUCGUGAGAUGUUGGGUUAAGUCCCGCAACGAGCGCAACCCUUGCCAUUAGUUGCUACGAAAGGGCACUCUAAUGGGACUGCCGGUGACAAACCGGAGGAAGGUGGGGAUGACGUCAAGUCCUCAUGGCCCUUAUAGGUGGGGCUACACACGUCAUACAAUGGCUGGUACAGAGGGUUGCCAACCCGCGAGGGGGAGCUAAUCCCAUAAAGCCAGUCGUAGUCCGGAUCGCAGUCUGCAACUCGACUGCGUGAAGUCGGAAUCGCUAGUAAUCGCGGAUCAGAAUGUCGCGGUGAAUACGUUCCCGGGUCUUGUACACACCGCCCGUCACACCAUGGGAGCGGGUUCUGCCAGAAGUAGGUAGCCUAACCGUAAGGAGGGCGCUUACCACGGCAGGGUUCGUGACUGGGGUGAAGUCGUAACAAGGUAACCAAGGGC